Molecule: long non-coding RNA, 1338 nt
Organism: Cyprinus carpio carpio
Lineage: Eukaryota; Metazoa; Chordata; Actinopteri; Cypriniformes; Cyprinidae
Source: Ensembl
UUUGAAUCCCAACAGGAAGUCAGUUAUUUUGAAUUUUCUCUGCAAAAUUUGUGUCGUUUUUGCCAUUUUCAGGGGUUGUACUUUAACGAACUCCUCCUAGAGAUUUAUUCAGAUCAACACCAAACUUGGUCAGUGUAAUCUAAAGGCCUGUGCGAUGUUAAAUUGCGAAGAUCUUGAGGUUUCGUUGAAGGGCGUGUCUGUGGCGGCCAUACAAAUUUCGAAGUUUCGCCAUGAGAAAGGAAGUUGCUAUAACUCAGACAUACAAUGUCCAAUCUGCCUCAAACUUCACAUGUUUGAUAUGACUCCUGACCUGAACAUAUCUACAUGCCCAUAUUCAGUUAUCGUUAUAGCGCCACCUGCUGGCAACAGGAAGUGACAUGUUUUACACUGUAACAAACUACUCCAAGAAAUUUUAUGACACUUUAUAAUUUUUUUUGGUGAGUCUAAUCUAAAGGCCUUUGCGAUGUUAAAUUGUGAACAUCUUGAGUUUUCAUUAAAGGGUGUGGCCAUGGCGCCAUGACAAAGUUCGAUGUCUCGCCAUGGGAAUAGAAGUUGUUGUAACUCAGGCAUAAGAUGUCCGAUCUUCCCCAAACUUCACAUGUUCGAAAAGAGUCUUGGCCUGAACACAUCUGAAGGUCAAUAUUCCACUAUAAUCAUAGCGCCACCUGCUGGCAACAGGAAAUGGCUUGUUUUACACUAACUUAAACAUGCAAUGUCCAAUCUGCACCAAACUUCAAAUAUUUGGAAAGAGUCAUGGCCUGAAGAUAUCUAAAGGCCAAUAUUCAGUUAUAAUCAUAGCGCCACCUGUUGGCAAUAGGACACGUCAUGCUUUAUACUAACUCAAACAUUCCAUGUUCAAUCUGCACUAAAUUUCAUAUGCUUGAUAAAAGUGCUGGACUGAAGAAAUCUACAUGCCAAAAUCCAGUUAUGGUCAUAGCGCCACCAGCUGGCAGCAGGAAGAUUGGCACAUAUAAAUGACUUUGACAUAUUUCUCUUAUAUUUACCACAUUAAACGCAUAUAUCUCGCCGUUCGCUGUUUUACAAAAGCCACCCGCUGGCGGUGAGCCCGGGUGCGAGGGCCCGUUCAUCGCUGCUUGCAGCUUUAAUUAUUAUUAUUCUUCUUCUUCUUCUUCUUCUUCUUCUUCUUCUCCAAAAUGAAUCGCAUUUUUGAGGGCCUAAACAUGCUCGAAAAGUCCUGAAACUUUGCACACGCGUCAUACCUGGUGAAAAUUUACGUCUGAUAUAGGUUUCAGAAGAGGGUGUGGCAAAAUGGCUCGACAGCGCCACCUACCGUAAAAAAAUCAACAGCCCUCGAGCUGUGUUUCACGUACAUGCACG